RNAcentral lists this RNase P RNA (475 nucleotides) under Hymenobacter sp. CRA2. Its description in RNAcentral is "Bacterial RNase P class A". It matches the Rfam family "Bacterial RNase P class A". Rfam says of the family: Ribonuclease P (RNase P) is a ubiquitous endoribonuclease, found in archaea, bacteria and eukarya as well as chloroplasts and mitochondria. The record is from Rfam by way of RNAcentral. Lineage: Bacteria; Pseudomonadati; Bacteroidota; Cytophagia; Cytophagales; Hymenobacteraceae.
GUGAUGCGCCGCCCUACCGCUGCGCGAACCGGGCAACCGGGGAGCGGAGAGGAAAGUCCGGGCAACGCAGAGCGCCCUGCUUCCUAACGGGAAGGACGGCGGCUGGGAACGGCCGCCGGACAGCAAGUGCCACAGAAAACUACCGCCAGGCGGUGAAAUGGUGAUUGGUGAACUAGUGAGUUUGACGUUCAACGGCACUCACCAUUUCACAAUUUCACCAACUCACCAUCCGGUAAGGGUGAAAAGGUGCGGUAAGAGCGCACCAGCGGGCGGGUGACCGUCCGGCUGGGUAAACCUCAGGGGUUGAAAGGCCAAAUAGGCCGGCAGGCGGGGCCGCAAGGCCUCGCACCGGGUGGCUCGCCCGGUGUCGGCGGGUAGGCUGAUGGAGCCCGCGCGCGAGUUCGGGCCUAGAUAAAUGGUGGGGCCGCAGCCGCAAGGCGGCGGACAGAACCCGGCUUACAGGCGCAUCACCUAA